RNAcentral lists this ribosomal RNA (468 nucleotides) under uncultured bacterium. RNAcentral describes it as "partial 16S ribosomal RNA". It matches the Rfam family "Bacterial small subunit ribosomal RNA", at positions 28 to 507 of the family's 1533-position model. The record is from RNAcentral.
GACGAACGCUGGCGGCGUGCUUAACACAUGCAAGUCGAACGGAAAGGCCCUGCUUUUGUGGGGUGCUCGAGUGGCGAACGGGUGAGUAACACGUGAGUAACCUGCCCUUGACUUUGGGAUAACUUCAGGAAACUGGGGCUAAUACCGGAUAGGAGCUCCUGCUGCAUGGUGGGGGUUGGAAAGUUUCGGCGGUUGGGGAUGGACUCGCGGCUUAUCAGCUUGUUGGUGGGGUAGUGGCUUACCAAGGCUUUGACGGGUAGCCGGCCUGAGCGGGUGACAGGCCACAUUGGGCCUGAGAUGCGGCCCAGCCUCCUACGGGAGGCAGCAGUGGGGAAUAUUGCACUAUGGGCGGAAGCCUGAUGCAGCAACGCCGCGUGCGGGAUGACGGCCUUCGGGUUGUAUACCGCUUUCGCCUGUGACGAAGCGUGAGUGACGGUAAUGGGUAAAGAAGCACCGGCUAACUACGUG